AGCAAUUGUUUACGUGACAAUACAGAGUUCCAACAAUCUAGUCUGAUUUGAGAAAACAAAGCUAAUAUCAAUCACAAGAAUAUCUAGAAAGCGCUAUAAGCACCUUUAAAAAAUGAGUAACAUGACUUCAAACAAAAUGCACUUCUACUGAUUUUAAUCUCAAACACUACACCGAUCCAAGGCAACUAUCCGGGCCCAAGCAAUUCCUGCUAAAAAACUUCAAUCUCAACUGCCAAACCUGCAUAGAAUCAAAACACAUACAAAAUUGUAAUAAGUUAUAAAAGAAAGCUUCCAAACUAAUCCAGAGUAAUAACAUCCGUGGAAACGCCACUACUAUAUUAUGGAAAUAGGUAAAUGUGUGUAACACACGUGAAAACAACAGACUAGUUACAAGUUCAAAAAAAUUAGUCCGAAGAAAAGUGUGCCAAAUGAAAGUAUAAUCUAAGUUAGGCUACAAGUGACAAGUAACAAGCACACAUCACAAAGCUAAAAGUACAGUAGCAGUAGCAGUUGGUCCAGUAAUCGGUUCUGGACCGAACAGACAAUAUGUGCAUGGGGCUAACCAGGCUGGGAGUUGUCUCUUUUCUGGCCUAGUGAACAAAGAUGAGACAUGUACUUAGUUUUUUUUCUGAGAGGAAGCAUUGCCCCUGUACAUGUAUUUAGUUUAUCUUGAUCAACCGUUUCUGUACUAUAAAAGAAAUGAGAAAAAAAAGUGACAUGCACUUAGGUUUUUUUGUGAGAGGAAGAUGUGCGCACAUGUAAGUACUUGGAUUUCCUGGAUCAAAAUUUUCUGUAUAAGCGAGCAGCUGAAAAUUAUGUAAAAAAAUCCGCCAGCAUAGACACUGUACCACACCAUUCCUUAGCAAACAAAAAUGACAGUAAAGAAGUGACAGACUAACUUCAAGAUAAUUAACACAAACUGGGCAUAAAAAUAGGCCAAGUUCAAAUCAAAAUAUGUUAUGUUGUGGACUAUACUAGCUCAAUAUUUAAAUCAAAAUCAGCACCUAAGGAUUUUUCAUCUAACUUGAUGCUUAUGCUGCAAGUUCAUCUCAAAGUGCCAACAAAUAUAGUACUAAACAAUACUUGCUUGCCAAGUGAAGUUCAAAUGGCAUGCAAAACAUUAACAAAGAACAUGAUACAAUUUCAUUGAGAGAUCUCCCACACUAAUAGUUUAUUUGUGGGGUACUAAACUAUGUACUUUUAUUUCAUGAAAAAAUUAAAAUCUGCACUGUAGUAAAUUAUUAAACAAGAAAACACUUGAUAAACGGUAAACUAAUAGUUAGGAAAGUCUAGUAGAGUAUGGAUACAAUGCAUGAUCUCAGGGACAUUGUCCAAUGCAGAUUUUAGGCACACAGAAAUAUCUGUACAAUUAUAACUACUAGAACCACACAACAGUCCACACCUUGAACAACUCACAACAGUCCGCACCUUGAACAGCUCAAAAUCUACAGCCUGAAUAAUUCACAUCAAGAAUGGAAGGGUAUCAAGCUCACCCUAUUCUGCUCAAGGACGGUGUCGUCGGCAUCGAUUAUGUGGGAGAUGUACUGACUAUAAUGUGCAAAGCAAAGAUAUUAGUGUGACAAUUGGAUAUGUGGUUUCAUUCAUUAUUACUGAAAUGCAAAUGUUGUCUCAACUGAACCGAAUUCUUACAGAACUAUGCCUUCCCAAAUGUCUAAAUUUACUAACUGAAUUCUUAAAGAAUUGAUUCAAUUGCAUACUAACUGAACUAAGGAACAAUGUACAAUGGGUAGCCGCACAUUAUUUUCCAUCUUUGCAUUGGUGAGACUAAAACACAUAUAUCAGACACCAAAUUACUAGUCCUUAAAAUGUGCCAACUAAAAUGAAAUACCUUUUGAUGUGAUAUACACUAUAAACCUCUACAUGUCCAGCAGGCAGUAGCUAAACUGAACAUUUGCUGCCACUGACAGCACAUGCUUUUGACCCUAAACACACAUGAAGGUAUCAAGGAGGUUAAUUGAACAUGGUAAAACUGAAAUAUUUAACAUUUGUUGAUUUUAUAUCGAUUCAUUUAAUACAUUGAGGAACCUAAACAGAUAAAACAACC
Molecule: long non-coding RNA, 2065 nt
Filed under: Triticum aestivum (bread wheat)
Lineage: Eukaryota; Viridiplantae; Streptophyta; Magnoliopsida; Poales; Poaceae
Description: long non-coding RNA (TAES_LNC009767)
Source: RNAcentral